Aphis gossypii (cotton aphid) is the source of this 1365-nucleotide long non-coding RNA. RefSeq lists it as uncharacterized. Lineage: Eukaryota; Metazoa; Arthropoda; Insecta; Hemiptera; Aphididae. The transcript has 4 exons. The record is from RefSeq and is a predicted model, not a curated record.
UAAAUAUAUUUGCAAUGUUAUUUUAAUCAGCUAAAUCUAAUAUUUUUGUCUAUGUAUAUCCAAUAGAACAUGUCAUGUACUUUAUAAGUAUAUUGUAUUAUUAAUAUUUAAAAUAUUUUUAUACGAUAUCACAGAAAUUAAUUAUAUUAGUACCUAUUAAUUUAUAAUGUCGUAAAACUAUCCAAAAUAACUCUUAUGACUAUAUGGUGAGUGAGUCAAUUAUUAAUAUUAUUAUGUAAUAUACCUACAUAAUACACUGUUAUUUCGAUUUUAAGUGUCAGUUUCGCUAUACCUGUCGAGGAGGGCAGGGGAUGAAAGUUGAAAGUCCGUUAAAAUGAUCGAUGCGUUGAAAAUAUCAUACUGUAGACUUCACUAUUUUAAAUUACAAUAAUAAACCCGUACCGUACAUAUUAUACAUAGGUAUACACUAUAAUGCCUAUAUAAAUGUUUGAUAUUCAUACCUAUCUUAAUUUUGUACCACGUAAGAAUAACUAAUAUAGGACUAUCAAUGAAAAGAUAAAUUCGAUCUUAACUAAUUUUAAUAUCAAAAACUUUGUACCAAUUAAUUAUUAUGUGUUAACUUUUCAUAAAUUACCUGAAAAACGACUUGGUCCAUAUUUCGUUGAUGUUGUGUUCUUCAAUUAACUGUCGACUGUAGGGUUAAAGAAAAGUUAAACUUAUAGCCUAUAGGGAAUAAAAAAUUUAAAAGCGGUCAGAUGUCGAAAAAUAAAAUGAUGCACAUAAAUCAAGGAUGCCAAUCGACAUUAUUGGUGAUGCACUGUUGCCCCAUAUUGACACAGUGGUCGUCGAAAAAGAAAAAUUAAAAUACUAAAAUGUUAUAAAUUAUGAACGGCUAAUACCAACUUAACGAAAAGUUCGAGGAAGAUAUAUUAGUACAAUAUAAUAUGAUUUUUAUAUUACACUUUUUUCAAUAGUAAGAGUACAGUGAGUACAUACAUUUUCAACUACCUACAAUAUGUUUUUUGGAAGAAAUAAGAAUCUAAGUUGGAAGACCUGACCAUUAGGUACCAGUGGUACCAUAAAAUAAAACUCUGAAUGUGGUAUACCAAGAGGUUUUGACCGCCGCGGUUAUCUACUACCGUGGUUUUGACUUAGUUAUUUCAAAUAUGCAUAAAUAAAGUUAAAUUACACAAAUUCAAAUUAUGAUUAUAGACUCAUCAAAAUCAUUUAUCCGUUUUUUUGAUGAAAUCGAUGGUGGAAGAAGGGAUAUUUUAUGGUCAAGAGAUUCUGAUAGACGUCCUGGAAGUUUUGCAUUUGUUCUGAAUUCAGUGUAUGUACGAUAUUCCUUCAUGUGUUUGAUCGACAUAUCGGGGGGCCGCUACAAAACUAUUAUAAAUUUAUGAC